Long non-coding RNA from Galeopterus variegatus (Sunda flying lemur), 515 nucleotides. RefSeq lists it as uncharacterized. The transcript is spliced from 2 exons. The record is from RefSeq and is a predicted model, not a curated record. NCBI's taxonomy places the organism in Eukaryota, Metazoa, Chordata, Mammalia, Dermoptera, Cynocephalidae.
GUCAUAAGACCCGCAUCUCAGAAGUACUGCCCCAUACUACCCAGCGGGAUUGAAUACUAUACAGAGAGGCCAAGAAGAAUCUGAACAGAUAAUACCUCUAGAACGGAAGUCAUGAGUUGUGUGCCUAAGGUAUUGGCAGUACUGUUGGGGUUAGCUGGCCCAAUACAAAUUAGGCUAAACUGGUUGAGCCUAAAGACCUCUCUACUGAGCCUGAACAAAUGUCUGAUGGGUGACCUUUUUGAUGUUAGAGGGCCAGAAACUCCACCUCCAGAUCCUGCUAACGCUGGCAUUUUCUGAACAUGUAGAGACAUGCAGAUGGCUUGAACCUGUGCAGAUCACUGAAGAACUUCUUCAGACCUUCUAACCAGUCACGACCUCCCACACCUCACCUCAUCUCUAACAGUUUUCCCAUAAAGAUCUUUUUCUUCCUGAUGUGAACAAGUUGGAUUUGAGAUAUAUUUCUUGAUCUUUUUACUUGGGCACUUUGUUAAUAAACUUUUCCUCUGCUGCAAAGA